AACGAACGCUGGCGGCAUGCCUAACACAUGCAAGUCGAACGAGACCUUCGGGUCUAGUUGCGCACGGGUGCGUAACGCGUGGGAACCUGCCCUUAGGUUCGGAAUAACUCCCCGAAAGGGGUGCUAAUACCGGAUAAUGUCUUCGGACCAAAGAUUUAUCGCCUUUGGAUGGGCCCGCGUUGGAUUAGCUAGUUGGUAGGGUAAAAGCCUACCAAGGCGACGAUCCAUAGCUGGUCUGAGAGGAUGAUCAGCCACACUGGGACUGAGACACGGCCCAGACUCCUACGGGAGGCAGCAGUGGGGAAUAUUGGACAAUGGGCGAAAGCCUGAUCCAGCAAUGCCGCGUGAGUGAUGAAGGCCUUAGGGUUGUAAAGCUCUUUUAGCCGGGAUGAUAAUGACAGUACCGGGAGAAUAAGCUCCGGCUAACUACGUG
Molecule: ribosomal RNA, 433 nt
Filed under: uncultured bacterium
Lineage: Bacteria
Description: partial 16S ribosomal RNA
Rfam family: Bacterial small subunit ribosomal RNA
Source: RNAcentral